This 352-nucleotide unclassified non-coding RNA is filed under the name soil metagenome. Its description in RNAcentral is "partial contains 5.8S ribosomal RNA, internal transcribed spacer 2, and large subunit ribosomal RNA". The stretch from base 1 to 120 matches the Rfam family "5.8S ribosomal RNA", at positions 35 to 154 of the family's 154-position model. The record is from RNAcentral.
GAUGAAGAACGUAGCGAAAUGCGAUAAGUAAUGUGAAUUGUAGAAUUCAGUGAAUCAUCGAAUCUUUGAACGCACAUUGCGCCCGCCAGUAUUCUGGCGGGCAUGCCUGUUCGAGCGUCAUUACAACCCUCAGGCCCCCGGGCCUGGCGUUGGGGAUCGGCGGAGCCCCCCGUGGGCACACGCCGUCCCCCAAAUACAGUGGCGGUCCCGCCGCAGCUUCCAUCGCGUAGUAGCUAACACCUCGCGACUGGAGAGCGGCGCGGCCACGCCGUAAAACACCCAACUCUUCUGAAGUUGACCUCGAAUCAGGUAGGAAUACCCGCUGAACUUAAGCAUAUCAAUAAGCGGAGGA